AUACGGAGGGUGCAAGCGUUAUUCGGAAUCACUGGGCGUAAAGGACGCGUAGGCGGGUUGGCAAGUCAGAUGUGAAAUCCUACAGCUUAACUGUAGAACUGCAUUUGAAACUGCUAACCUAGAGUAUGGGAGGGGGAGAUGGAAUUAGUGGUGUAGCGGUAAAAUCCGUAGAUAUCACUAGGAAUACCGAAAGCGAAGGCGAUCUCCUGGAACAUAACUGACGCUAAGGCGUGAAAGCGUGGGGAGCAAACAGGAUUAGAAGCCCUAGUAGUCC
RNAcentral lists this ribosomal RNA (274 nucleotides) under uncultured bacterium. RNAcentral describes it as "partial 16S ribosomal RNA". It matches the Rfam family "Bacterial small subunit ribosomal RNA", at positions 523 to 796 of the family's 1533-position model. The record is from RNAcentral.